AAUAAAUUUUUUAUGGUUUAGAAAAUUUAUAAUAAGUUUGUUUUACAUGUAAAUUUUAGUGUUAGUUUUUAAUUAUUUAAAUAAUAAUUAAUUUAUUAAUAGUAGUAAUUAAUAUUAAAAAUUUAAGAAAUUAAGAUUUAGCAUUAUAAUAAUUAUUAACUAAUUUUGUGCCAGCAGUUGCGGUUAAACAAGGAAUAAGUUGAAUUUUUUUAGUAAUUAAUUAAUAUUUUAAUAAUUUAGUUUAAAAUUUAAAUUAUUAAGUGAAAUUUUAAUUCAAUAAANNNNNNNNNNNNNNNNNNNNNNNNNNNNNNNNNNNNNAAACUAGGAUUAGAUACCCUAUUAUUAAAAAAAUAAAUAAAAAAUACUAAAAUAGUAGAUAAUUUAUUGAAACUUAAAUAAAUUGGCGGUAUUUUAGUUCAUUCAGAGGAAUCUGUUUAUUAAUUGAUAAUCCACGAAUAAAUUUACUUAAUUUAUUAUUUUGUAUAUCGUUGUUAAAAAAAUAUUUUUUAAUAAAAAUAAUAUUUUAAAAUUUUUAUUAAAAAUUAAAUCAGAUCAAGAUGCAGAUUAUAAUUAAGAAUAUAAUGGAUUACAAUAAAUUUAUUUAUUUAUGGAUGUUAAAUUGAAAUAUUUAACUAAAAGUGGAUUUGAAUGUAAUUUUAUUUAAAUUAAUAAAAUGAUUAAUAAUUAAAAUAUGUACAUAUUGCCCGUCGCUUUCAUAAAUAAAUUGAAAUAAGUCGUAACAAAGUAGAGGUACUGGAAAGUGUUUCUAGAAAGAA
Molecule: non-coding RNA, 776 nt
Filed under: Saturnia haraldi
Lineage: Eukaryota; Metazoa; Arthropoda; Insecta; Lepidoptera; Saturniidae
Source: RNAcentral